This 90-nucleotide transfer RNA is filed under the name Candidatus Nomurabacteria bacterium. RNAcentral's name for it is "tRNA-Ser". It matches the Rfam family "tRNA". Rfam says of the family: Transfer RNA (tRNA) molecules are approximately 80 nucleotides in length. Lineage: Bacteria; Candidatus Nomuraibacteriota. The record is from RNAcentral.
GGAUAGAUGACCGAGUGGUUUAAGGAGCCGGUCUUGAAAACCGGUACGGACCAAUGUCCGUCGAGGGUUCGAAUCCCUCUCUAUCCGCCA